Molecule: ribosomal RNA, 745 nt
Filed under: Planctomycetota bacterium
Lineage: Bacteria; Pseudomonadati; Planctomycetota
Description: bacterial SSU rRNA
Rfam family: Bacterial small subunit ribosomal RNA
Source: RNAcentral
CAAUUUGAGAGUUUGAUCCUGGCUCAGAACGAACGCUGGCGGCGUGGCUAAGGCAUGCAAGUCGAACGGACAUGUUUUCCGGGUAACUGGAGUUCAUGUUAGUGGCGAACGGGUGAGGAAUACAUGGGUAACGUGCCCCGGACUCAGGGAUAGCGGCGGGAUCUUCGGAUCCCUUUGCGAAAGUGCCGGUAAUACCUGAUGACCCAGCGAGAUCGCAUGGUCCUGCUGGCAAAGGUCCGCCGGUCCGGGAUCGGCCCACGUCCUAUCAGCUUGUUGGUGAGGUAAUGGCUCACCAAGGCUUCGACGGGUAUCGGGCGUGAGAGCGUGACCCGACACAUCGGAACUGAGACACUGUCCGGACACCUACGGGUGGCUGCAGCAACGAAUCUUCCGCAAUGGGCGAAAGCCUGACGGAGCGACGCCGCGUGGAGGAUGAAGUCCCUUGGGAUGUAAACUCCUGUCAGGGGUUAGGAAGAUCUGACCAACCCCAAAGGAAGCACCGGCUAACUCCGUGCCAGCAGCCGCGGUAAUACGGAGGGUGCAAGCGUUGUUCGGAUUCAUUGGGCUUAAAGCGCGCGUAGGCGGGGUGGCAGGUGCCUUGUGAAAUCCCUCGGCUCAACCGAGGAACUGCUCGGCAAACCUCCACUCUUGAGGCAGGUAGAGGCGACUGGAACCUUUGGUGGAGCGGUGAAAUGCGUAGAGAUCAAAGGGAACACCGAUGGCGAAAGCGAGUCGCUGGGCCUGU